GACGAACGCUGGCGGCGUGCUUAACACAUGCAAGUCGAACGGACAGGCCCUGCUUUUGUGGGGUGCUCGAGUGGCGAACGGGUGAGUAACACGUGAGUAACCUGCCCUUGACUUUGGGAUAACUUCAGGAAACUGGGGCUAAUACCGGAUAGGAGCUCCUGCUGCAUGGUGGGGGUUGGAAAGUUUCGGCGGUUGGGGAUGGAUUCGCGGCUUAUCAGCUUGUUGGUGGGGUAGUGGCUUACCAAGGUUUUGACGGGUAGCCGGCCUGUGAGGGUGACCGGCGAUACUGGGACUGAGAUACGGCACAGGUUCCUACGGGAGGCAGCAGUGGGGAAUAUUGAACAAGGGGCGGAGGCCUGAUGCAGAAACGCGGCGUGCGGGAUGACGGCCUUCGGGUUGUAAACCGCUUUCGCAUGUGACGAAGCGUGAGUGACGGUAAUGGGGAAAGAAGCACCGGCUAACUACGU
This 467-nucleotide ribosomal RNA is filed under the name uncultured bacterium. RNAcentral's name for it is "partial 16S ribosomal RNA". It matches the Rfam family "Bacterial small subunit ribosomal RNA", at positions 28 to 506 of the family's 1533-position model. The record is from RNAcentral.